UUAUUUUUCCCUGUGAUUCCCAUAGAGAAAUGCUUUUGCUUCAGAGGAAUAUAAUUGCUUAUUGGAAAGCCCAGUUCUCCAGGAGGAAAGAACAGCCACCUAGCAUCAGUAGAAACAUUAAGAACAGAAAUAAGUAAGAUGUGUCUUGAGACUUUUAAGUACUGGAAAGUGUCCAGCUGUGGACAGAGGGACUGUGAGAACUUGAACAUCAACCCAUGUUCUUUUCUGUUGCUUUUAAGGGAAGAUGUGCUAGUAUUUGAAAACACAAAAGAAAAUACGCUUCUGUCUGAAGUGAGGUCUCUGGAAGGACAGAGUGGGUUGGAUUUCAAAGAUCUACAACAGAGAAUGAAGUGCAUAAUACAGACUGAAAAAGGAGUUUUCCUGAAAGCGUACAGUCAUUUGUGAUGUUGAAGUGGCUAAAAGCAGAAUGACUUUGCAUCUGAGAAGUCAGAAUGUCUUAAUGCUUCUGAGCAGGAUCCAGGGUAAGUGAAAUACGCUAUGUGGGACUGAUGUUUU
RNAcentral lists this long non-coding RNA (516 nucleotides) under Phasianus colchicus (ring-necked pheasant). RNAcentral describes it as "lncRNA (ENSPCLG00000018751.1)". Lineage: Eukaryota; Metazoa; Chordata; Aves; Galliformes; Phasianidae. The record is from RNAcentral.